This 253-nucleotide ribosomal RNA is filed under the name uncultured bacterium. RNAcentral describes it as "partial 16S ribosomal RNA". It matches the Rfam family "Bacterial small subunit ribosomal RNA", at positions 524 to 776 of the family's 1533-position model. The record is from RNAcentral.
UACGGAGGUGGCAAGCGUUGUUCGGAAUUACUGGGCGUAAAGGGCUCGUAGGUGGCCAACUAAGUCAGACGUGAAAUCCCUCAGCUUAACUGGGGAACUGCGUCUGAUACUGGAUGGCUUGAGUUUGGGAGAGGGAUGCGGAAUUCCAGGUGUAGCGGUGAAAUGCGUAGAUAUCUGGAGGAACACCGGUGGCGAAGGCGGCAUCCUGGACCAACACUGACACUGAGGAGCGGAAGCCAGGGGAGCAAACGGG